ACAAGAUUGUUCAAUCUGUUAACGAUAUUAGAAUUUUAACCAGAAAUUUCUAUUAUUACAAAUGAAAAUUUAAUACAAAUAAGCUAUUUUCCAGGCUUAUAAUACUUUCACAUGCUUGUAGAUUCUAUAUCGGAAUAUAGAUAGGUCUUUUCAGUAUCUGAAUAAUUCACCGCUAAAUGCACCGAGACGUCCAUCGGAAUUCCUUUUAAAAAUUCUUCAAAUUUUAAAACCUGAGUUUCGACUAUCACCAAGGUUAGUCGAUAGUAAGAGCAUUUCUAUUGAAAUUUUUCAAAUGUCACGUUUUCCAUUACAGGAAAUUGCAUUUCUUUCUAAUUGGAUAGAUCGUUGAGCAGCUGAUAUACUGCCAAGAUAACAAAUUGCCGUGAAAUCACCUAUUGGUUUUAUCAGCACCGAGCAGACUGAACAAGAUAGAGGGUACUUUUUUAUGAGAAUUCUCUAUGAUCGAAAUUGAUCAAACAAACAAACUGGUUUUCGUUGAGUUAUCUGUUCACGCAAAGAUCCGUGGGAUGAACCAUAAAAUGAUCCCCUUCGAUAUCUAUAUCAGUAUCAUUAUCAUUUGAUCGUACCAUCAAAUAACAUUUAAGCUGUACAAUAUAUCCUGGGGAUUAUUGUUAAAUCAAUUACUAGGAAUAUGUGCGUUUUAUUGCUUUCGUAGAUUAAUUAAAAAACAUUAUCGAAAAGGUAUUAGCAGGAUUGUGAUAGAUAUAUAGACGAAAUAGUUUUUUAUUAACAGUUUUUACGAAACUGUUAUUUAUCUUACAGACAUAAAAGGAAUAAAGGAAUGAAAGGAAGGUUUCUUUGUAAAUUGUAUCUUGUUCGUUACGUUUACAUAAAUAUAAAUUUGCAUAAAUAUCAGAAUAUUCCACGUUAUCUAACAAAUAUAAAUUCAAUUGUAGGUAAUAUUAAAAGAAAAACUAGAACCGAAACUAUCAACGCAAUUUAUUACUCGGUUAAUUAUUUUGUUUUAUAUGCCUUUGCCAGAGAAUUCCUUAAAUUGAGUUUCCACAAAUAUUGAGAAACGAUGUAUUGCGUCUCUUAAGAAUAACAAUUUUCAAAUAUUGCAAGUACUCGCUUGUUUGGCAAUAUCAUCUUUUUCUUUCCGGUUCAUGUGUUUUCUUUCCGAUGUUGAAAAGCUUUCCAAUUAUCAAUCUCUUUCUUCUUUUUUUUAAUAUGAGAUCGCAUUAAUUAGGAAAAAACCAGACGAUCGUAAAAAGCCUUCUGCGAGAUAAAACACAUGAAUCGUAGUUAGAAAAAAUAAUCGCUACGUGUUUUGGUAAAAAGUACUUUCUGCGAGACUCGUUCCUUUCGUGAUAAACAAAAAACGCUGGAUGUUUCAUUCAACCGAUAACGCGACCCAGACAAAGAAUAAAAACGUGCCUAAUUGAUACAAUAUAGCGGAAUCGGAUCGACAUGUUUUUAAAACAAACAGAACGUGAACAACAACGUAAAAGAAUGGAGAUUGUUUACAUAUUUCGUGCGAUUAUAUAUUUCGCAGACGGACUCUGUACGUCGAUCGUCCUCCCUAUGCAUAUCAUUAACGAAACAGCGCUUCACCUUGCGUACAGAGGUGCACAGUCCAUUGGCCGAUUUGCCAAGGAGUUCAUCGCGAUUGUUCGCAAGGUCAGACACUGCAUCGAAUUGCAGUGAAGCAUGCGAUGUCUCUCAAUGUUCUCUGUACAUUCAAGAACGUCAUACGUUUUCUAUAUAGCAGUUCGAUCGGAUCAUUGAGAACCUGUACGGUCAUUUUAAAGGAAAGAAGACGACAAGUGCAGCUGCAUAAUACAGAAAUGACAGUGGUGAUUCUACGAUUGACGGCGUUACUUAUUUCAAAUGUCAAUGUGAUCGAUUCUCUUUCCUUGGUAGCUAAUUCAUAAAUGAAACCUAUCGAAUAAGUUUCCGUUCAAGAAGCAAACCUAAUCAGUAGACUGCAAGCAUAUUCAUGUAACAAGCCGUAAUAAACUUGGACAAACGAUAAAAAAAUAAUGAAAUACGAGCAUUUGUUAAGUUCCUAACGAACAGUAUGCCAUAAUCGAAUGCACGUGACAUGAUAUUUCCUUGAGUGAAAUUAAGUUCUGUUCGACAGCGAACUGCUUCACCCAUAUGCGCCGUAUCAUUGAGAAUCUUUAGCGAAUUGAAGAACAGAUAACGAAUGAAGCUUAACCCGGUCGCCUGGAGUGAAUCGCGUAAUUAGUAGCUUUGAUUUAAUGAGAGUGCGAUGGAUUCUCAAGCUUCCAAAGGAACCUUUUAUUUCACGGAGCUCUGCGAGAAUUAAAAGGAGUAUAUUCAAUUAUCGUUUCUUUUAAUAGAACCGCAUUGCUUUAUCGAAUAAGGAAAUAUCGCGCGAAAGUAUUUCUGUAAUUUUUUACUUCAUGAUUAUCAGCUGAUACAACGCUCGCUCUAAAUGUAUAUCAAGCUCUGUCCUCGAUCCAUAAACUAUGAAUGUUUAUGCAUUUAUGAAAAAAUUAAGAUUCCAGAAAUAUAAGCAUAUACACAGUAAAGUGUUGAAAAUGUACGCAAUAUAUAUUUUGCAGAGACAUAUUUCAUACAUAGUUGAUGUUUAGUAUUCGUUACGAUAUUUAGAUAAAAUAACUCAUUAUUUGUAUACUAUUUCUUUAACCGUAUCCUUAUCAUAACGAUAUGCAUUUUCAUAAGAAAUGCUAUUAAUAUCUAUCUUCUAUCAAUAAGGUUCUCCUAUUUUAAUUCUGACGAAAUAGAUCUCGAUGUACCAGGCCAGAAACACGAGUAUUCCCUCCAGAAUUUAAUAUCUCGCGUCAUCCCGUGUCUUCUCCGUAUCUCUAAUUACAUUUGCCAAUUUUCUACGAUUAUUAUUAUUAGAAAAAUUAAUCUGUCUAUUGAUUUACUGUGAUAUUAAUUAUUUUAUCAACUACCUAUGAAAAUCGAUCGCGCGAGUAUUUACUUUUUUAAAAGAUAUUUCUAUUUGCUAAAAACCAAAAAGAAGAUAUCAUAUAGCGUACUAACUAAUUUUCCAAUUUUCAGAUAAUGUUUAAAGGCUUUUAGCGUUAGAGAGAUAAUAUAAAAGUUACAUUGACAUUUACAAAAGUGCAUAUAUGUAUAUGAUUUUUACACAGAAGCAAUAACGCAGUAUAUGAUACAGACAACGAUAAACGUAAAUGAUGACGCAUCGUGGCCAUGUUUCAAUACAACACGUUGCUAUAAAGUCUCUCUGUCCAGACUCGUACGCAUCUAUCCGCCUUUUUAAUAAUUUCAUUUACAUUCGUUCAUUGUUUUUCCGAGAAUCAGAACGAAGCAACGGGAUAUCGAGAAACAGACAUUUCCGAUGAAAAGAGCGAGCUUUCAAACCAAUCGCACUGACGCCCUUCAUCCGAGGAACACGAAUUGAAUCGCUGUAAAUCAUUCAGCCUACAAACGAAGAUAGAAACGAUUUUCUCCACCCGUUAUCUAUCUGCGGACCGAUAUUUCCAUUUCCGCAGAGAACGAAUUUGCACAUGUACUCUAAUUCACGGUCAUUCGAACGCUUACGAUUUACCGUAUUGAGACGCGACUGUCAUAAUUAUAUCGGUAAAAAUAGUCAGUCUACACGUGUAUGUGUAAUAUAUUUAAUUAAAAAUCACUUCAUUAGAUAUCUUAUAUCUUCUAUGUAUAGUUUCAGAUUUGUUUCAAGAAUUUUACUGAUAGGAUACGUAUAGUGUACAAAAAUAUUAAUAUAAUAUAUUUUCCACAUAUUUUAUAGACUUAUACUGUAUGUAUACUGACAGUGCUUUAAAUUAUUAAUUAUACAAAAAUAGAUAAAAUACCCAAAGUAUUUAAAUUUCUUUGAAAUAUAAAUUUGCUUACGAAUUCAUCGUCUAAUCAUGAUAUUGCAGUUAUCUUUCGUAUAAUAUAUGUAUACAUAAUAUAUUCAUAGAAUCUUUUUAUUUGUUUCCGAAUAAUUUCGUGACUCAUUGUAGUUAUAGUAGAAAACUCGUUUCAUUUCAGAUAAUUGGCCGUUUAAUAUCUACAGGAUAAAACUGAACAGGAAACGUUACGUAAUGUAGAAAACGAGCUUGCAACGUGCUGCUGGACACGCUUCGAGAACGUAAUUAUUGUUGAUUAACAGCAUUAACUUUGAUGUUAACACUACACACACGCCUUAUGUAACACGAGAAAGAUGAAAUUAAACGUUCUCGUUUUUAUUGGAAAACUCGAUGUGACGAAGUGGAAAAUGACCUUUCCACCAGGAGGUCGAGGUUCAAACGACGGCAACGAAUAUAUGUAUACACAUCGAUCGAUCGAUCGAUCGAUCCUGUAUGGAUGGAGCAUUAGAAUUAGAAGACGCGAGUUUUUUCAAUUCAAAGAAACAACUAGCAUUAUAAACUUGUUAACUGGCUUCAGAAACAGUAUCUACGUCAUAUCUCGACUGUUUGUGCUAUUUUAAAUCAAUUUCCUUCGGCGACUCGAAGUUCCCAUUUUCGUUCUCAUCUUCUUCCAAUUAUCUUGAUCCUCGACUUUCAAGAUAUCCCAAGAGUUACAUUACGACAGAUUUAACAAAUAUACUCGAAGUCUGUUUAUAAAUACAUCCGUACAUUCGAUUUAGGACGUUCCUUCGUUAUUUUAUUAUUUGAAAUCAGAUUUAGUCACUUCUUUAUUUAUUCUGAUUCCGUGACAGUAGAUGUUUUAUUCCGGUCUAGUUUAGUUUACGAAUCGAACGAGGUAGGUACUUUCGUAAAAAUAGAUCUGUUUCCGGAGGACGUUAUAAGCCAGUAUCGUAUAACGGCGACGCAUUAAUAAAAUUGGAGGACGCGAUACUGCGUCCGAUUUAUGUACACGCGAAAGUGUAAGGAACAUUUUCCCGAUGAUAAUGAAAGUGCAAACAUGGUACAAAGUGACCUACGAGAAAGCUAUCUUAUCCAUCCCAACGCAUAUGUUAGUCUCGAUGAACUUGACCAUCGAUGAUUACCGAAAUUUCAUCGAUAAAGACCUUCAAGAAUAUUUGAUAAUUCCAUCGAGUUGCUCAACCUAUCGCCGGGAAAAUAGAAACGUACACGUCAACUGGAAAAUCACGUGUCACGAAAUAUUUGUAAGACGAUCGACAAAACUGAUUUCGAUGGUUCUACGAAAGUCGACAGCUUGAACGGUCGUUUAAUGUGGAACUCGCAAACCCUAUAUUGUUGCCAUGUUCUUGAAUACCAAUGGUUGCGUCGCUUUUUUUUCGCAAAAUAUCGCCGAGUAUUUCAUGGCUACUGAUAACUCCAAGCGAAAUAAAAAUUUAUCGAAAAAAUUUUAAUUGCCAAUUACGUGUUGCGUCACAUUGUAACAUGCCAUGAUAUCUGAUACUUACGUGUAAACAAUCCACGUGUCGACGGAUUAUAUAAGCACAGUGGAUAAAUCGUUGUUUGGUAACAACAGAGAAAGUUUGUCUUAUCGUCGGAAAAUAAAUAAAAAAAUCUCUCCGAUCUUCUUUUCACUUAAUAACUUGAAAUUGAAAUUGAUGGAUGUUUCCAAGUAGUCCGGAAGAGAGAAAACACCUAUUUUCUCAAGGCUAGACGUCGUUUAGUAGUCGGAAUUCAAGGAAUGGAUGAACGAUACUUUUACCAGUGCAAACCAGUCUCAGAGUAAAAACUCGGCCAGACUGCAGUCCCAGUUACUCCUCUCGCGGAGAACUUGCUGGGAACAUCCUAAUAAUUUUUUCGAGCGACGCAUCUCCCAUGUGGGAAUUGUGAGUACAAUGAUUCACCAUUGUAUGUAAAUUAACAAGUGUCUCGUAAUUUUCCGCUCGUUUUGAAACAAUUGUCUACUUCAGCUCACGAUAUUUACUAGGAAUCUAACGUGAACACAUUUGCAACUCGAAUGUAACCUGUUAAUCGAGUCGCUUUUUAACGAGAAAUUACUACAGCAAUGGAAUUCAACUUAACACGUAACAUGAAUACUUAAUAAUGACAAAUUAAUUUCCGUCAAGUCCAUUUUUAAUUCUUGCGAAUGUAAAAUAUUGAUCAAAAAGAAGAAACAAAAAGAAAAAUGAAUUUCAAUUGCGAUAUGUUGAAAGGAAAAUUUGUUAAUUACUUUAUUAUCUAAUUUAAUAUAUCUAAUUUAAAAGAUUUUUAAUAAUUUAAUUCAACGUAUUCUUGUCUCGUAAUUUUACAUCUCAGUAACGUCCUUCGUGACUCAUAUUUUCCAGUUAGCAGAGAAAUAAUUACCGAGGAAUUUAUUAACUUAAUUUCUACGAAUUGCAAGUAAAUUAUUCAGCAAAUCAACGAGAAAAAUACUAUCGUUGGUAAGAAAACAAUUGUUACUCAUCGGCCAUCGGUAUUUUUUCACUGUACGUUGUUGUACGCGUUAAGCACUGUUCUAUAGGUAGUUCUAGAACGGUCGACGAGCAUCUAUAACCGGUCAGAGGAAGCAGCUGUUUAGUUUUAAAGUUUCAAUCUCAAUGUGCAACAGUAGGCACGUAGAUGCACGCGCUUCAUAGGGCAAUGCGCGUCUAGUGACUUACGCCGGUUACAUACAGACAGAAAACACGUUCGCUAAAUGAAUUAGAUAACGCUUGGUAAAUGUCGAAUUAAUGUCAAUUUACUUUAGGGGCAAUUAACAACAAGAGCGGAAUACCACAAGUUUACAACGUUGGGCAAUCAACGUUUCGAUUCGAGUGAAAGGAACCGAAAGCACGACGAAUAAAUUGAAAAUAUUAUGAAACCGAAGUAACUUGUUAUUGCUUUAGAUGGAGGCCGUUGAUAACAGAAAUUCUUGCUAGGUGUUUGGCGUUCAUAACAUUUAACUAUCGCUGUUCUACAGAACAAAAAGAUCGAUAGAAAGGCAAAUAUCAAGUGGUAACGUAGUAAAUGUUGAAUUUUUAAUAACUCUCACUUUACAGAAUCCUAAAAGGAAUGCGUUUAUGCACGCUUAUAUGAAUAAACAAAAGAACCAUGUUAUGAAAGAGAAAAUUCUCCGCUUGAAAAUUUACCAAAGGAAAAAGAAUAGAUACAACGAAAACGAAUAUUUUACAUGUUACGAUUUAAACUCGCGGCAAAAAUCUUUUACACGUCGCUGUAUAUUUUAAAAUGCAUCCUUAUUUUGGUCCAUUAUUUAGUCAAGAAUAGUAGCAGUAAUAUUUAUUAAAUUUCUCCCUCACGACCGAAAAAUUGUGUAUUCUCUUUCGCACUAUAUCGUUAAUGGGUCUACGUUAUUAUUUACCCAAGAGUACAAAUGGUAACAGCAGGCAAAUAGUGGACAGAAAAUAAGAGUGUGGUUAAAAUCACAAAUAAUUUCUGGAAAGUCGAUUUUCAGAGACCGCGACUUAACACUCCGCCUGCAAACUUAUUUUUACUUACGUUAAUUGCAUACUGGGUCGUUUAAAUACACGCAGUUUUCGUUAA
Long non-coding RNA from Bombus pyrosoma, 7352 nucleotides. RefSeq lists it as uncharacterized. The transcript is spliced from 2 exons. The record is from RefSeq and is a predicted model, not a curated record. NCBI's taxonomy places the organism in Eukaryota, Metazoa, Arthropoda, Insecta, Hymenoptera, Apidae.